Myotis brandtii (Brandt's bat) is the source of this 440-nucleotide long non-coding RNA. RefSeq lists it as uncharacterized. The transcript has 2 exons. The record is from RefSeq and is a predicted model, not a curated record. NCBI's taxonomy places the organism in Eukaryota, Metazoa, Chordata, Mammalia, Chiroptera, Vespertilionidae.
CUCCUUCCAUCUUGUGGCUCUCUCUCCCCUCCCCAGGGCCUUGUAGUUUUGAGCAUCCUGCCAACAGACAGGAGAAGAGGACAAAGAGGGCCACCUGCUCUUUAGGUGGCUUUUCCAGGAAAAUGUCACUUCUGCCUAUAUUCCAUUGUUGCUUCCAGAUCCCUGAGCUGCCAUAUGAGAAGCCUGACAACUCAGCUGGUGACAGCACAAGAGGAGGCCUGAGACAACCUGGAGAAGGCAAGAAGGAAAGCUGAGCCCAGCCCUCCAGCCAUCCCCACCAGAGCCCAGACCUUCCAAUCCACAACCAUUAAUCAGCUGAAAACCAUCAGGUGAUUCCAUUUAAUGCUUCAUGGAGCAGAAGAGUCACUUAGACAAGUCCUGCCCAAAUUUCUGAUCCACAAACUUGUGAGAUAUAAUAAAAUGGUUGUUGUUUUGAGUCA